Molecule: ribosomal RNA, 207 nt
Filed under: Klebsiella pneumoniae
Lineage: Bacteria; Pseudomonadati; Pseudomonadota; Gammaproteobacteria; Enterobacterales; Enterobacteriaceae
Description: partial 23S ribosomal RNA
Rfam family: Bacterial large subunit ribosomal RNA
Source: RNAcentral
GGGUUGUGAGGUUAAGCGACUAAGCGUACACGGUGGAUGCCCUGGCAGUCAGAGGCGAUGAAGGACGUGCUAAUCUGCGAAAAGCGUCGGUAAGGUGAUAUGAACCGUUACAGCCGGCGAUGUCCGAAUGGGGAAACCCAGUGCAAUUCGUUGCACUAUCGUUAACUGAAUACAUAGGUUAACGAGGCGAACCGGGGGAACUGAAAC